CACUGCCACAUCGAAGCAUAUCAUCGGCUUCACACAGACACAAGCACAGGCACCAGAGCGCACGCUCACGCACCCACGCACAGGCGGUUGCUGCACCGACGCUGCUGAGCAGGCAUGAAGUUUGGAAAGCGCCUGCAAGAUGAGAUUGUGCUGGAGUGGGCCGACUACUACGUCAGUUACAAGCGGCUCAAACAGUUCAUCCACAACUCCGAGCUCCGCGGCAGCGAGUUCAGCCAUGAACUCUUCAACAUCAUAACAGAGGAACUCGCGAAGGCAGAGGGCCUCUUUCAGCAGCUCAUGACGGACCUGCAGGAGGAGCACGACAGACUCAUGAAGAUGAAUCCCGACCUCCCUGUGGCCCCGGUGACAAAACCGCGCAAGUUCCACCGCCGAAAAAAGGGCAGCAGCGCGAACGACGAAGCAGCAAACGAGGAGACAGGGUUUGUGAGCACCGCCACCAGCUCUGUGUGUGAUCCGUCAGUUUUGGACGGGGAUGCAGUACCACGCCACCAGCGCACCAGCCUUGGCGCGCUCCUCAAGCGACUUUUUUUACUGCUCAUUGGUGACUCGCAGGUGAAGGAAGUGGAGAGCAAUACACCGCGAGCACUCUUCCUCGAGUGGCACUCCAACGCGCAUCAGCUGCAACACUUCGCGGAGUUAAACCUUGAGGCCAUCCGCAAGUCCGCGAAGAAACUGAAGAAGCAUCGCCGCAUGGAAGACGACUGCACGGCUGCCAUCGAGGCCGAACUCGCCCGCUCGCGGCUGGUCACCCUCAUGCCGCGUUUGCGCAACCUCUUGUUAGAUAUAAGCGUGGACUUUGAACGCAAGUUCAAGGUACCGCUGGACCAGUACGCCAACGUGGCCAUGUCGCAGGAGUGGCAUGCGAGGUGGCGCUACAUCUUCGUCGGGACCGCGCUGUUCCUGGUGGUGAAGCGGCUGCCGGUACUAACGGAGGAGCCGGCGGCCCACAACUGCCUAGCCCUUUUCGUGCUCAUAAUCACACUGUGGAUCACCGAGGCGAUUCCGUUCUUCUGCACGGCCAUGCUCAUUCCGCUCUUCGCUGUUCCGUUGCGCAUUGUCAUGGACCCGACGAAGCGCGAGAGCGCGACAGCGACGGUGGCGUCGCAGAUCAUCUUGGGUAAACUCUUCAAUCAUGUUCAGAUUCUUGUCAUGGGCGGUCUCACCAUCGCCAAGGCGUUUUCGCGCACGAAUCUGGAGAUGUAUGCUGCGAGUAUGCUGCAUCGGUGGACGGCGCACCGCCCGUCGCUUUAUUUGCUUGGUGUGAUGUUGUCCAGCUGCCUCUUGUGUGCCUUCGUGUCGAACGUGGCGGCCCCGUUGCUGGUGCUCGGGGUAGUGCAGCGCACGCUGUGGGAGUUCCCAGAGGGGACGAACGCGCCGCACGGCAUCCUGCUUGGCCUCGCCUUUGCGUGCAACGUCGGCGGCAUGCUCUCGCCCAUCGCUUCUCCGCAGAACGCCGUCGCCAUCUCAGCGCUGAGCUUUUAUAAAGUAUCCUUCGCGCAGUGGGUCGGCGUCGCCCUCCCGGUCGUGCUCUUCAGUGUGGUCGCCGCGUGGGCAGUUGUGCUGAUUGUAUGGCGGCCGUUUGUUGAUGUCCCGUAUAUCCCGCUGCAGGUUGUAAACACCGCGGCAGAGGAGCAGGUAUCUUCCGCGACGCGCGCGGUGGUGCUGGUGGUGUCGGCUAUCACAAUCACGCUCUGGAUCCUGCCGGCCAAUCUGUUCUUUGGCGACACCGGCAUCGUGGCUCUCAUCCCGAUUGUCGUGUUCUUUGGUAUCGGCAUCUUGUCCAAGGAGGACUUCAACACGCUCUCCUGGCAUUUGAUGUUCUUGCUUGCCGGAGGUAACAUGCUGGGGCUGUGCGCUCGAGACUCUCGCUUGCUUGACAUCAUUGCUAUGAGCAUGAAGUCAACACUGACAGACUCGCCGCCGUACCUCACCCUGCUGGUGGUGCUCGUCGCCGUGGGCGUCAUCACGACCUUCGUGUCUCACACGGUGGCGGCGAUGAUCUUGCUACCUAUAAUUGUGAAGAUCGGCUUCCUCAUGCCCGAGUCUGCUGGCAUCAUGGCCGUCACUCCACAGUCGAUGGUCAUGCUGUCCGCCUUGAUGUGCUCCGGUGCCAUGGCAUUCCCUAUCAGCUCCUUCCCCAACGUGAACUCGCUGCUGGCCGAGGAUUCGAAGGGUAAGUUGUACUUGCGAGCGAAGGACUUCCUCUUUUGUGGUACGGUGAUCACGCUGGUGUUCACGGCGUGCCUUGUGACAUGGAUGGUGCCCCUCACCAACUAUGUGCUGCCUGCCGACCAUUGAAGGCGACAGGGCGCAUGUGGGAUGAGGAGAAUGCGCACGCUGGAGGAUAGAGGGCAAGGGUGUGCACGCGUCCGUGCAGGCGCUCUCAAGGAUACGACACCGUCUAUCGAACCGCUACGUGCAGACGGACAGCGAGAAUGAUUGCAAGAGAGGGAGAGAGAGCUUGUGCGUCGUGAUAUGCCCUCUCUCUUGGGGAGGUCGCUGCCUUGUGAGAGUUUCUGAAAAACCUAUUCGACUUUGCACCUGUGCUGUCAAUCCCACAUGUCUGCGCGGUCCCUCUGCCUUCCCUUUCCCCGCCUCUAUCUCGAGAGUCCUUCUUUUCUCUUUGCCUUCCGCCUACAUCGACAAAGGAUGGCGCACGUUUUUCCCCCUUCUAAGUCCGUGCCGCGCUGUCUGCGCGUAGGCCGCUCUGAGUUCCCCCAUCCCCCCGCGCCGAAGUGUUCUGGUUGUGUAGCGCCAGCAGAGGCUGCCGUGGUGGAGCGGUUAGACAUGUUCGUUGAGGUGAAGAUGUGCCAUCUUUCGUUUUCGCCAUUAUGUGUGUGGGUGUAUUUGGGAUGGGGGUGCGCUGGCGCUUAUCGUGAGUUCAAGCCAAGCGAACUUUGCGGCCGCGUUUCGUCGGCAGCGAUGGCUGUCGUCGUGGUUGAGCUUCUUGUGACACGGAUCCACUCCCCUCACUCUCAUCAAUUUCCAUAUCGCUUCCACCCCGUCUCCCCACCCCCACUCCAGAUGUGAGGGCUGCUGUUACGUCUCUUAGUGGCGCGAGUGUGUACUCUAUCGAGUGCGUCGCCAUGCACCGCGGGCGGUGAGUUUCGAAUCGAUGCACUCGACGAAGCACACAACGUUAUAGUCGUUUUCUUGCUCCGCCGUGGACAACAGUGAGCGGCAUGACCCUCGGCGCGCUGUGCUGUCCCUUCCUCCACGCACCACCACCUCCGCGCUCUUUGCUCAUUUUGGCACCUUCUCUUUCGCUUCUUUUCUUCGCUGUAUCUCCCGCACGGCAG
This 3320-nucleotide unclassified non-coding RNA is filed under the name Leishmania donovani. Its description in RNAcentral is "gene:LdHU3.28.4210(CDS-product:phosphate_transpor ter_putative)". The record is from RNAcentral. Lineage: Eukaryota; Euglenozoa; Kinetoplastea; Trypanosomatida; Trypanosomatidae.